ACGCUGGCGGCGUGCCUAAUACAUGCAAGUCGAACGGUCUUUUCUAUGGAAGCUUGCUUCCACUGAGAAGAUAGUGGCGAACGGGUGAGUAACACGUGGGUAACCUGCCCAUAAGAGGGGGAUAACAUCCGGAAACGGGUGCUAAUACCGCAUAGUUUUUCUUGAUCGCAUGAUCGGGAAAGGAAAGACGGCCUUUGUGCUGUCGCUUAUGGAUGGACCCGCGGCGUAUUAGUUAGUUGGUGAGGUAACGGCUCACCAAGACGAUGAUACGUAGCCGACCUGAGAGGGUGAUCGGCCACAUUGGGACUGAGACACGGCCCAAACUCCUACGGGAGGCAGCAGUAGGGAAUCUUCCGCAAUGGACGAAAGUCUGACGGAGCAACGCCGCGUGAGUGAAAGAAGGUUUUCGGAUCGUAAAACUCUGUUGUCAGAGAAGAACAAGUUGGAGAGUAACUGCUCCAGCCUUGACGGUAUCUGACCAGAAAGCCACGGCUAACUACGUGCCAGCCGCCGC
RNAcentral lists this ribosomal RNA (514 nucleotides) under uncultured bacterium. Its description in RNAcentral is "bacterial SSU rRNA". It matches the Rfam family "Bacterial small subunit ribosomal RNA", at positions 33 to 518 of the family's 1533-position model. The record is from RNAcentral.